CAGACGAUGCGUCAUGCAUAUCAAUAAGCGGAGGAAAAGAAACUAACAAGGAUUCCCCUAGUAACGGCGAGUGAAGCGGGAAGAGCUCAAAUUUGAAAUCUUAAAGGGUUUCCCUUUACGAAUUGUAGUUUAAAGAAGUGUUUUCUGUUGAGGUUUUGGUAAAAGUUCUUUGGAAUAGGACAUCAUAGAGGGUGAGAAUCCCGUAUUUGACCUUUACUUUCAACUUUGUGAUACACUUUCAAAGAGUCGGAUUGUUUGGGAAUGCAGUCCAAAAUGGGUGGUAAAUUCCAUCUAAAGCUAAAUAUUGGCGAGAGACCGAUAGCGAACAAGUACCGUGAGGGAAAGAUGAAAAGAACUUUGAAAAGAGAGUUAAACAGUACGUGAAAUUGUCAAAAGGGAAGCGUUUGACACCAGUGUUGUUUUUCUGAAAAUCAAUUAAAGAACUGUUUAUGCUAAGUUGUUUAGACUUUAUCAGCUAACUGUUUAGUUUUGAGCUUUUCUUUAAUGCACUUUUCAGUUAACAAGUCAACAUCAAUUUCUUUUGCUGUAAAAAAGCUUGAGGAAGGUGGCUUGAGAUUCGUCUUAAGUGUUUAUAGCCUCUUGCCUAUGCAGUCGGAGAGAUUGAGGUCUGCAGCGCAGAUCCUUCGGGGCUAAAUGCAUUUGUGCUAAGUUAUAGCAUUUUAUAGACAACUUGUUGACUAUGAUUUGUCUUGUAGCUUACUCGCUUAUGUUAUUUUACCUACGCUUAGGAUGUUGAGCGCAUGUCUCUCUCU
RNAcentral lists this ribosomal RNA (773 nucleotides) under uncultured Neocallimastigales. RNAcentral's name for it is "partial large subunit ribosomal RNA". It matches the Rfam family "Eukaryotic large subunit ribosomal RNA", at positions 18 to 616 of the family's 3401-position model. Lineage: Eukaryota; Fungi; Neocallimastigomycota; Neocallimastigomycetes; Neocallimastigales. The record is from RNAcentral.